GACGAACGCUGGAGGCGUGCUUAACACAUGCAUGUCGAACGAUGAAAUGGAGCUUGCUCCAUGGAUUAGUGGCGAACGGGUGAGUAACACGUGAAUAACCUGCCCUUAAUUUUGGAAUAACCAAGGGAAACCUGGGCUACUACCGGAUAAGUAAACCUGGGGCAUCAUACGGCUCUGGAAAGUGUUUCGAUUAAGGAUGGAUUGGCGGCCUAUCAGAUUGUUGGUGGGGUAAUGGCGCACCAAGGCGACGACGGGUAGCCGGCCUGAGAGGGUGAACGGCCACACUGGGCCUGAGACACGGCCCAGACGGCUACGGUAGGCAGCAGUGGGGAAUAUUGCGCAAUGGACGAAAGUCUGACGCAGCGACGCCUCGUGAGGGACGAAGGUCUUCUGAUUGUAAACCUCUUUCAGCAGGCACAAAACGAAAGUGACGGUACCUGCAGAAGAAGCGCCGGCUAACUAUGUGCCAGCAGCCGCGGUAA
RNAcentral lists this ribosomal RNA (482 nucleotides) under uncultured bacterium. RNAcentral describes it as "partial 16S ribosomal RNA". It matches the Rfam family "Bacterial small subunit ribosomal RNA", at positions 28 to 523 of the family's 1533-position model. The record is from RNAcentral.